UAUAUCAAUUACUCAGGUCUACUGUCCCUUGAAGCUGUGAAAAAAUCAAACUUCUAAGCCAACGCAAUCAAAAGAUACGGCCGUUUAUGCCGCAAAUUUUCGACGCUUGCAAGGGAAUCAAAACCUACAGGGUGCUUCCCGUGAACUCAGAAUCUUGAAAUUUGGUACGAAGCAACGUCAUAUAGCAUAGAUAAAGGAAAAAUUACGAAAACCAUAAAUUUUUAGUUACAACACAUAAUAUAUAUUUUUUUAAUAAUUUUAAACUUACUACCCAUUUCCUCAUAAACGCGUAGAGGUAUUAAAUUGAAAUUCAUACCAAAUACUCAGGUCUAUAAUACCUUUAAGCUGUAACAAAAUCAAACUUCUAUGUCAACGCAAU
Colias croceus (clouded yellow) is the source of this 379-nucleotide long non-coding RNA. RefSeq lists it as uncharacterized. The transcript has 2 exons. The record is from RefSeq and is a predicted model, not a curated record. Lineage: Eukaryota; Metazoa; Arthropoda; Insecta; Lepidoptera; Pieridae.